GCCAAGGGGUCAAUCUUUGUUGAUUUGGAAGUUCUGCACAGGGUUAUCUUGAUGAACGGCUCAUAUUCUAUUCCUUACUCAGAUUUUAACUUGCAUUCAAUGUAAUUUUGUAUUAGGGGUUCUUUUUUUUAAAAAUCUUGGCAUUACAGUAUCGAGAGCAAGAGGGAAUCUUAGAACUCACUUUGUUCAAACCCCACAUUUUAUAGAAUCACGGCAUCACAGAUUUAAAGCUCAAAGGGUAAAUGGUUUCCAAGUCUCUCAUUUUGUAAAAUGACUUAAGGAAAGACAAGGAUAAAGAUGAAGAAGAUCAAGAAAUGGAGAUUAAGAGGACUAUAGAACUUGAGCCAGAAAGGCCUUUAGAGGUUAUCAAGUCCAACUACCCUCAUUUUACAGAUGAGGAAGGGGAUCCCUGAUAGGAAAGAUUACUUGCUUAUAGUCUUCACAAGUAGUAAGGAGCAGAGCUGAGAUUUGAACUCAGGUCUCCACUCUAAACUCAGUAUGCUUUUCACUUUGGCACACUGCAAUUAUUAUAUUCUGUGAAUAUUAUCCCAAAAUUAUGUUGACUGAAGAAUUUCUCUGUAGAGAAUGUAAGGUUGUCUUGAGAAAUCAUUAUUUUCUUUCUGUGCUCAAGUGUAAAUCCUGGUGGUCAAAGAGGAGACGAGAUAUUUUCAGUUUCAAAACCAAUGGUUUCCACUUGAUGGCCAUGCUUGCCAAAGGGCUGUGGCAUGCUUUCUUAUGCUCCGGGACCACAGUGGUCAAGGAUUGUUGUGUCUACCUUGACAACAGCUUUCAGAUGUGCCCUUCUUUGGCUACACAGCAUCCGCUAUUGUUGACCCUCACCCUUUCUCACCUAUUCGAUUACAGUAACGUUCUAAUUCUCCUCCCUGAUUCUCUUUCCAGUGCAAUCUACCUCCACAAGGGAAAAGACGAUUUUUCUUCCAAAAAAUAAUUGGAAUCCCCCUGGAGUAAUUGGACGACCGACUCUUGUUCACAGAACACCUUCAAGCAGCCCAGGUCCACAGGACCAGUUUCACAUUAUAACACAUACCAGAAGACUGGGAUAUAUUGAUGGAAGAAAUAACCCCAAAUCUCUGAAUCCCUCUGAUGUGUGAACUCUCAUUGGCGGUACAUUAUUAGGGAAAAGAUUGGCGUGCGAACUUCUUGGUACUUAGACAAAAAGCAAAAGCAGCAUCUUGAGUUUUCCGUAUCAUUGCAAGAGAAUAACACCUUCCUGGACAAUCAUUGCUCAUUGCUUUUGUGAAAUAAACUGGACCUUGUGCUAAAUUAGGGAAGGGUA
Molecule: long non-coding RNA, 1297 nt
Filed under: Monodelphis domestica (gray short-tailed opossum)
Lineage: Eukaryota; Metazoa; Chordata; Mammalia; Didelphimorphia; Didelphidae
Description: lncRNA (ENSMODG00000037865.1)
Source: RNAcentral